CUCGUAGUUGGAUUUCUGCCGAGGACGACCGGUCCGCCCUCUGGGUGCGUAUCUGGCUCGGCCUGGGCAUCUUCUUGGAGAACGUGUCUGCACUUGACUGUGUGGUGCGGUAUCCAGGACUUUUACUUUGAGGAAAUUAGAGUGUUUCAAGCAGGCAUACGCCUUGAAUACAUUAGCAUGGAAUAAUAAGAUAGGACCUCGGUUCUAUUUUGUUGGUUUCUAGAGCUGAGGUAAUGAUUAAUAGGGAUAGUUGGGGGCAUUCGUAUUUAACUGUCAGAGGUGAAAUUCUUGGAGUUGUUAAAGACGGACUACUGCGAAAGCAUUUGCCAAGGAUGUUUUCAUUGAUCAAGAACGAAAGUUAGGGGAUCGAAGACGAUCAGA
This 381-nucleotide ribosomal RNA is filed under the name Karenia sp. RCC5706. RNAcentral describes it as "SSU rRNA". It matches the Rfam family "Eukaryotic small subunit ribosomal RNA", at positions 627 to 1012 of the family's 1831-position model. Lineage: Eukaryota; Dinophyceae; Gymnodiniales; Kareniaceae. The record is from RNAcentral.